AUGAACGCUGGCGGCGUGCCUAAUACAUGCAAGUCGAGCGAACGGACGAGAAGCUUGCUUUUCUGAUGUUAGCGGCGGACGGGUGAGUAACACGUGGAUAACCUACCUAUAAGACUGGGAUAACUUCGGGAAACCGGAGCUAAUACCGGAUAAUAUUUUGAACCGCAUGGUUCAAAAGUGAAAGACGGUCUUGCUGUCACUUAUAGAUGGAUCCGCGCUGCAUUAGCUAGUUGGUAAGGUAACGGCUUACCAAGGCAACGAUGCAUAGCCGACCUGAGAGGGUGAUCGGCCACACUGGAACUGAGACACGGUCCAGACUCCUACGGGAGGCAGCAGUAGGGAAUCUUCCGCAAUGGGCGAAAGCCUGACGGAGCAACGCCGCGUGAGUGAUGAAGGUCUUCGGAUCGUAAAACUCUGUUAUUAGGGAAGAACAUAUGUGUAAGUAACAGUGCACAUCUUGACGGUACCUAAUCAGAAAGCCACGGCUAACUACGUG
Molecule: ribosomal RNA, 496 nt
Filed under: uncultured bacterium
Lineage: Bacteria
Description: partial 16S ribosomal RNA
Rfam family: Bacterial small subunit ribosomal RNA
Source: RNAcentral